GGAUGAACGCUAGCGGCAGGCUUAACACAUGCAAGUCGAGGGGCAACACGGGUAGCAAUACCUGGUGGCGACCGGCGCAAGGGUGCGUAACGCGUGAGCAACAUGCCCUAUACAGGGGGAUAAUCCAGGGAAACUUGGUCUAAUAUCCCAUAGUAUUUAGAGGUGGCAUCACCACUAAAUUAAAGCUUCGGUGGUAUAGGAUUGGCUCGCGUGACAUUAGCUGGAUGGUGGGGUAACGGCUCACCAUGGCGUUGAUGUCUAGGGGUUCUGAGAGGAAGACCCCCCACACUGGGACUGAGACACGGCCCAGACUCCUACGGGAGGCAGCAGUGAGGAAUAUUGGACAAUGGAUGGAAAUCUGAUCCAGCCAUGCCGCGUGCAGGAAGACGGCCCUAUGGGUUGUAAACUGCUUUUAUAUGGGAGCAAUAAGGUUUACGCGUAGACCGAUGAGAGUACCAUAUGAAUAAGCAUCGGCUAACUCCGUGCCAGCAGCCGCGGUAAUACGGAGGAUGCGAGCGUUAUCCGGAUUUAUUGGGUUUAAAGGGUGCGUAGGCGGGCUGAUAAGUCAGUGGUGAAAGUUUGCAGCUUAACUGUAAAAUUGCCAUUGAAACUGUUAGUCUUGAGUACAGUAGAGGUAGGCGGAAUGUGUAGUGUAGCGGUGAAAUGCAUAGAUAUUACACAGAACACCAAUUGCGUAGGCAGCUUACUGGAGUGUCACUGACGCUGAGGCACGAUAGCGUGGGGAUCAAACAGGAUUAGAUACCCUGGUAGUCCACGCCGUAAACGAUGAUUACUAACUGNUUUGCGAUAUAAUGUAAGUGGUACAGAGAAAUCGUUAAGUAAUCCACCUGGGGAGUACGCCGGCAACGGUG
Molecule: ribosomal RNA, 872 nt
Filed under: uncultured Bacteroidota bacterium
Lineage: Bacteria; Pseudomonadati; Bacteroidota
Description: bacterial SSU rRNA
Rfam family: Bacterial small subunit ribosomal RNA
Source: RNAcentral